AGAGUUUGAUCCUGGCUCAGGACGAACGCUGGCGGCGUGCUUAACACAUGCAAGUCGAACGGUAAGGCCCUUCGGGGUACACGAGUGGCGAACGGGUGAGUAACACGUGGGUAAUCUGCCCUGCACAUCGGGAUAAGCCUGGGAAACUGGGUCUAAUACCGAAUAGGACCACAGGACACAUGUCCUGUGGUGGAAAGCUUUUGCGGUGUGGGAUGGGCCCGCGGCCUAUCAGCUUGUUGGUGGGGUGAUGGCCUACCAAGGCGACGACGGGUAGCCGGCCUGAGAGGGUGUCCGGCCACACUGGGACUGAGAUACGGCUCAGACUCCUACGGGAGGCAGCAGUGGGGAAUAUUGCACAAUGGGCGAAAGCCUGAUGCAGCGACGCCGCGUGGGGGAUGACGGCCUUCGGGUUGUAAACCUCUUUCACCAUCGACGAAGGUCCGGGUUUUCUCGGGCUGACGGUAGGUGGAGAAGAAGCACCGGCCAACUACGUGCCAGCAGCCGCGGUAAUACGUAGGGUGCGAGCGUUGUCCGGAAUUACUGGGCGUAAAGAGCUCGUAGGUGGUUUGUCGCGUUGUUCGUGAAAUCUCACGGCUUAACUGUGAGCGUGCGGGCGAUACGGGCAGACUUGAGUACUGCAGGGGAGACUGGAAUUCCUGGUGUAGCGGUGGAAUGCGCAGAUAUCAGGAGGAACACCGGUGGCGAAGGCGGGUCUCUGGGCAGUAACUGACGCUGAGGAGCGAAAGCGUGGGGAGCGAACAGGAUUAGAUACCCUGGUAGUCCAA
Molecule: ribosomal RNA, 785 nt
Filed under: uncultured bacterium
Lineage: Bacteria
Description: bacterial SSU rRNA
Rfam family: Bacterial small subunit ribosomal RNA
Source: RNAcentral